CGGAAACAGUCGCGCCCCGCAUUCCGACAGGGAAUGCCCGCCCCAACCGUGAACUCCUGCCCCGACCCGCCCAUUGCCAUUCCUAUGUGAAGUGUAGACUAGAAAGCCAAUGACGAAGUUCCAAAAAUAUUGUGAUCAGACGAUGUUAUCGUCGCAGGGAGCUCUGGUUACUCUUUUUUUCCUUCUCGCUCCUCACAAAGAACGACCAAUUAAUUUUAAAGUUGAUUUUCUAACAGGUGAGAGAUGAAAAGAUCAUUACUUUACAAAUUUUUCCUUUAAUAUAUAGAUGCAAAAUUAACUUCAAACUCAAACGUGAUGUUCUGCUAAUAUUAUACAUUUUCAUUUAUUUAUAUGAAUUUCAAACUCAAUGAGGGUUUAAUGGGUGCAAUUUUUUCACCAUUGUAUUGGAUUCUCUUUUAAAUUAUGUUAGUGGGUUUAAGAAAUCCGGGGUUUUUUAAUUCCUCCUUGUUUGGUUUUUAUUUUGUCAUUUUAGGUAAGGCUUGAAUAAAAACUCUGAGAUGGUUAUGCUGAGAUUUUCCUGUAUGAGAGUUUUCUGAUAGAGGUGUUGUAUGCUACAUUUUGGAGUGGCAUGAAUAUCUGAGGUUUUCUGGAGAAUUGAGGCAUGUUUCAUUCAAUUUUGGGUUCUGAGAUAUGCAAACUAAAGUUUGGAGAUGGGUUUUAGGUUUAAUAUACAUAGUUGCAGUUGCAACUAUCUGGAUAGCUGCUAGUUUUGUGGUUCAAUCUGUUGUAGAUUCUGGGGUUUCACCAUUUCUCAUUACAUAUAUUUGCAACUCAUUGUUUGUGAUUUAUAUUCCCUGACUUGAAAUUGUACGCUGUUUGGAGGAUUCUUGUGGAAGUUUGUUUUUCUGGAGGAAUAAAAAGAGUAGUCCUUUACAAGAAUUGGGAGACUCAGAGCAGGUCAUUCUACUAGGAGAGAUUGAGGUGCAAGAGUUGAUGGUUUGAAGCCAUCCGUUCCCUUGGAAGAGGGAGGAAGUAGUCCUCAUGGAGAUGGUGUUGGUUCGCCAGUGGAAUUUACCUCAUAUUCAAUUGAAAGAGUCUUACCUUUAGAAGAAGCUAACAAAGGAGUUGAUGCCAAAGGACGAUGGACAUGCACUAGAGUGACAAAGGUCAGCUUGCUAAUCUCCCAGUUUUGGUAUUUUGCACAGCUGACUUUCAAUCUGUCAUUGAACUAUUCUACUGUGACGUCAAACACCAUUUUAAGCACUGCAUCCAGCCUUUUCACUUUUUUGGGUGAAAAGUUCACUUGGGUGAAGCUUGUAAGUGUUCUCCUCUGCAUGGCUGGAACUAUAAUUGUCAGCUUGGGAGACUCAAAAACUGGUUUAAGUCCAGUUGCUUCAAACGCUCUUCCUGGAGACUUUCUUGCUCUCAUCUCAGCUGGGCUGUAUGCAGUGUACUUUGCACUUAUUCACAUGAAAUUGCCUGAUGAUGAUGAUGAUAGAAAAAGUGGUUAGAUUUCUUGGUCUUUUCAAUCUCUUCAUUUUCCUACCCAUUGCCCUUGUACUGAAUUUCACCAUGUUAGAGCCUUGUGAUAUGGAAGCAGUUUGGUCUAAUCAUUGGUAAAGGUUUGUACGUCACUGGUUCCUUCUUGACAUUUGAAGGUUUAGCUACAUUCUUUCAACUUUGUGCUGUCAUUUGUGUCUUGAGAUUAUUCGAUGAUACAUAUGAAUCCAAAUACAUAAAUAGUCCAUGAAAUGUCUAGGAAAAAUUCAUUGCACACAUCACUUUCUAUUUCCACACUUUAUAGUGAUUAACAAGUCAAGAAGAGGCAAGAUCUGAUUCAAGGCCUGGUUAAGGGUGACAAUUUUGUUUAUCUUUAUGAGCGAUGUCCCUGAAUAUAGCAUGUGUACGAAUGAUAGUAAAACUUGAAGAACAGCUACUGCUUCAGCAAUUAGCAUCCAACAUUGUUUCUUAUUUCAUUUCCUUUUUCCAUCUUAAACAGUUUGUUAGUUAAUGUGUUGAGUGACUAUUUAUGGGCAAAGGCUCUUAUCUUGAUAACCACUACAGUUGCAACGGCCGAUCUUACAGUUCAGGUCCCAUUGGCAGCUAUCGUGGAUUCAGUAAUGCCACUCGCCUCAUGGACUACCUUGGAGCUGUAGCUGUGUGAUGAUUGGGUUUUCUGGCAUCAACAUUCCUUCCGGUGCUAAUAGCCAAUCAAAAGAAGCCAUUGCUGAAUCAGAAAAUGAAAAUAUUAGGUCAACUCAUCAAGAUGAGCCACCACCCGUGCAAGGCAUUUCCUAGCAUAAUAUUGCUGGUUCUGUUAUAUUGGAUAAAUUUCAAUGAUCGUCUUUAAACUUUUAAGGGUUGUAAGAGAGUCGUCCUAAAUUUAAAAAUAUAACAUAAAACUCUUUGAAUUUUAAAAUUUUAUACAGUAAAAUUCUUUCAACUUCCAAUAGUUGGUUUAUAAGUAAAAUGUUG
RNAcentral lists this unclassified non-coding RNA (2436 nucleotides) under Hevea brasiliensis (rubber tree). Lineage: Eukaryota; Viridiplantae; Streptophyta; Magnoliopsida; Malpighiales; Euphorbiaceae. The record is from RNAcentral.